UCCCUGGAGGACUAGUGGUUAAUCCUCGGCGUUCUCACCGCCAUGCCCGGGGUUCGAUUCCCAGCCAGGGAA
Molecule: non-coding RNA, 72 nt
Organism: Pangasianodon gigas (Mekong giant catfish)
Lineage: Eukaryota; Metazoa; Chordata; Actinopteri; Siluriformes; Pangasiidae
Source: the annotation of a GenBank genome assembly